GGGCGAUUGGCGCAGUUGGCUAGCGCACCAGCAUGACACGCUGGGGGUCACAGGUUCGAGCCCUGUAUCGCCCA
Molecule: transfer RNA, 74 nt
Filed under: Planctomycetota bacterium
Lineage: Bacteria; Pseudomonadati; Planctomycetota
Also listed under: 2 other names
Description: tRNA-Val
Rfam family: tRNA
About the family: Transfer RNA (tRNA) molecules are approximately 80 nucleotides in length. Their secondary structure includes four short double-helical elements and three loops (D, anti-codon, and T loops).
Source: RNAcentral